RNAcentral lists this ribosomal RNA (665 nucleotides) under uncultured fungus. RNAcentral's name for it is "eukaryotic LSU rRNA". It matches the Rfam family "Eukaryotic large subunit ribosomal RNA", at positions 24 to 664 of the family's 3401-position model. Lineage: Eukaryota; Fungi. The record is from RNAcentral.
CCCGCUGAACUUAAGCAUAUCAAUAAGCGGAGGAAAAGAAACUAACAAGGAUUCCCCUAGUAACGGCGAGUGAAGAGGGAAAAGCUCAAAUUUGAAAUCUGGCAGUCCUUGUGGCUGUCCGAGUUGUAGUUUAGAGAAGUGCUAUCCGCGUUGGUCUGUGCAAAAGUUUCUUGGAAAAGAACAUCAUAGAGGGUGACAAUCCCGUCUUUGGCACAGAUAACCAGGGCUUUUGUGAUGCGCUCUCGACGAGUCGAGUUGUUUGGGAAUGCAGCUCUAAAUGGGUGGUAAAUUCCAUCUAAAGCUAAAUAUCGGCGAGAAACCGAUAGCGAACAAGUACCGUGAGGGAAAGAUGAAAAGAACUUUGAAAAGAGAGUUAAACAGUACGUGAAAUUGUUGAAAGGGAAACGCUUGAAGUCAGUCGCGUCCUUCAGAAAUCAAGUCAACUUUGGUUGACCGCAUUUUCUGUUAGGAUGGGUCAGCAUCAAUUUUGACCGCUGGAUAAAGUCUUUGGGAAUGUGGCAUCCUCGGAUGUGUUAUAGACCAAGGUUCAGAUACAGUGGUUGGGAUUGAGGAACUCAGCAUGCCUCUAUGGUUGGGGCUUCGGCUCACAUAGCGUGCUUAGGAUGCUGGCAUAAUGGCUUUAAUCGACCCGUCUUGAAACACGG